Molecule: ribosomal RNA, 444 nt
Filed under: uncultured Bacteroidota bacterium
Lineage: Bacteria; Pseudomonadati; Bacteroidota
Description: bacterial SSU rRNA
Rfam family: Bacterial small subunit ribosomal RNA
Source: RNAcentral
GAUGAACGCUAGCGGCAGGCCUAACACAUGCAAGUCGAGGGGUAACGAUGUCUUCGGACAGUCGACGACCGGCGCACGGGUGAGUAUCGCGUUUGUAACCUACCUUUAACUGGAGCAUAGCCCGAAGAAAUUCGGAUUAAUACUCCAUAAUACUAUGAUCUGGCAUCUUUUUAUAGUUAAAGCUCCGGCGGUUAAAGAUGGACAUGCGUAACAUUAGUUUGUUGGUGAGGUAACGGCUCACCAAGACUACGAUGUUUAGGGGGUCUGAGAGGAUGGUCCCCCACACUGGUACUGAGACACGGACCAGACUCCUACGGGAGGCAGCAGUGAGGAAUAUUGGUCAAUGGGCGCAAGCCUGAACCAGCCAUGCCGCGUGAAGGAUGACAGCGCUAUGCGUUGUAAACUUCUUUUGUACAGGAAGAAACACUUCUACGUGUAGAAGCU